CACAGCAGAGAACGUGUCUCUCUGCUUUUGUGUACCUGCAGUUUGUGUGCUGAUUUGACCACACAUUUGAAUCCUGUUGUUGCAUCAGCAACUUUUAUAGAAAAAUAACGAAGAAGCAACUUCAAAAUGAACCAUUACUUUGAGAUAAUUACAGUACACUACUCUCCUAUUUUUACUUGCCUCACAAAGGCUUUAAAAAUUUCCCUCAAUUUCUGAGAAAUUAAACAUUUGUUUAAAAAAAAGUGGGCAGUCUGGAAAAGGCGCCCUUCUUAUAGCAAGUAAAUAUGCAUAAAAUGCAAUGCGUCAUUUUGUGCCAUAAGGCUAGUAAAGAUGGCUCUUGCUGUUUACUGUCUUCCCCUGGUCUUUCUCCACUGUCCCAUUACAUUAAAGGCUAAAAAGCCCCCAAAAUAAUAUUACAAAAAAUGAGUGGCGCACUUGGGCCACUCUAAUAGAUUCUCCUGCUGAAUUAAUAAUCAGAAAUUAAAUGUCUUAGACCACAGAGACCCUGAGGUAACAUUGAUAAAUGAAGCACAUUAGACCAUAUUUAUGCCUCUAUUAUACAAACACAAACUUUAGUCAGGAAUGUCAGGCAUUUCUAGUAAAUGAGCAUCUGUGUUAAUUUCACUGGUGCUUUGGGUCUCUUAAUGAUGUUAAAAAUUGUAUAGGCCUGAAUUAAGUCUAUUAUAAAGCUAUAACUAAUAUAGUUUUCUUUAAUAUAAUCUGAGUUAUUUCAGUGUCUCUGGCACAUCCACAAAUAUGAUAUGUAGGUAAGUCUGGUUUCUUUUAUCAUGUAGCCUGAUGAUUUUGGUAAUAAAAGUAUUGCCUGAGAGCUCUUGCAAAUGCAGUGUUAUGAAGUGUUUAGAGACAAUGUGAGAGAAAAAGUUCUUGCCCUGUUUUGCAAAACUGCACAGAGGACUGGAGCAAAGUAAAAUAAUAAGCAGUUCCCUGCUCUUUUUAUCCGUCCAAUCCUUUUCCCUCCAAACACAUCAGUCUUAGUUUCUACCUUUAGCUGUUUGCAGGACUGACUUUAGCUUCACACCAUGUAUCCUAAACUUCUGACUGUUUCUGACCAUCAUCACCUGCUUUUUAUGUUUUUUGUUUGCUGAUUCUGCCGCAAGUCCCGUGGAAAUAAGACCCAUUAAACAGCACGUGUUACUGAAGUGAUUUAAGAAUAAUAUCGUGACAUAGUGUCUGCAAAGCAUUAAGAUAUGACUCCAAGAUUAUUGUUCAUUCAUGAUUGCACACAGUCACAACCCAAGUUUAUUGUUAUUAUCCAUUUUCUCUCAAUAAGUGAUAUGAACAAACUUUCAUCACUUCCACGUCGCCUUGGCAAGCGGAGAAGCGCUCGGAUAGACCCUAAUCAGGAUUUAUCCUGCUUUUCUCUCAGAAACCAGGCCUGGCUGCGCAGAAACACUUCCCCCCCUCAAUCUUUCAUAUGAAAAAAAGAAAAACGAUGAAACAAGGCAUCGCAGACUCACUGGAUUAUAAUAAGUGUUUGACUUUGUCUCACUGAUAAUUCCCUCUAGAAGUAAACGGAGUGUGGCUUUAAAGGUGUUUCUCUAUUUCAGAAAUAGAUUCUGGUAAGUUGUUGUAAUCAAACUAUGACUUUAUCACCUUCAGCCUGAAUGAAAACCAUUAACUUGCAUGUUUCUGUUCGUAUUUUGCGUUAAAAUCACGGAGCACGUGCUGCAGGUGGUGCAGAGGGACAUGAAGCUGCGCAAGACAGAGGAGGAGAGACUCAGGCAUAAAAAGAGAGAAGCCUUCUUCUUUGAGGAAUGUGUGAGGGGGAUGGUCUGCCUGGAAUGGUGAUGGCAGCAGAAGCUCUCUCCCUCCGUCGCACUCCUGGUAACUCAGGAGUGCUGGAGGCUCAGGAGACCCAGUGCAGCAGUCUUACACGUCACCGGCUGUUCCAGCUGGUGGCUCUGGUGAGCCUCUCUAGCAUCUCUUAAUGUCCACUGGUGGCUCUGGUGAGCCCGGCCAGCACCUCCUCAUGUCCGCUGACAUCUCUGAGUCCAUUCAGCCACCUCCUGCUUCAUUGCCUGCAGCUGCUAUGCUGCCACCUGGUCCAACUCCAUUGUCUGAGGCUGCCACACCACCGUCAGGUCAAGCUGAGAUUUUGUAAUAUUUGCCUCAGAGAGUCUGCAUUUGGUCCUAUCCUGCCUGAUCCGCACACAGUUCAUGACAGAGAUGUCCAGAAAAAGAAACAUGAGCUGAUAUCAAACCUAAGGCCACCCUCAAC
Oreochromis niloticus (Nile tilapia) is the source of this 2239-nucleotide long non-coding RNA. RefSeq lists it as uncharacterized. The record is from RefSeq and is a predicted model, not a curated record. NCBI's taxonomy places the organism in Eukaryota, Metazoa, Chordata, Actinopteri, Cichliformes, Cichlidae. The transcript is spliced from 3 exons.